GCCCAGAUGCUGGAACAGGUAGACAGGCGGGGUUGAGGGCCCCGUGUCCAUUAGGACGUGAGGGUUCGACCCCCUCUCUGGGCACCA
RNAcentral lists this transfer RNA (87 nucleotides) under bacterium. RNAcentral's name for it is "tRNA-Leu". It matches the Rfam family "tRNA". Rfam says of the family: Transfer RNA (tRNA) molecules are approximately 80 nucleotides in length. Their secondary structure includes four short double-helical elements and three loops (D, anti-codon, and T loops). The record is from RNAcentral. RNAcentral also lists the same sequence under 1 other name.